UAUGAGAGAAAAUAUAAUGAUGUUAGCCGCGCAAUCUGCGUGGGCCACCAUGCUAGUUACUAUUAUAUGAUAAAACAUGAAUAGUACUUUAUGUGUGACUAAAUAUUUUUAAAUUUUUUAUAAAUUUUUCAAAUAAGACGGACGGUCAAACGUUGGGCACGGAUAUCCACGGCUGCACUUAUU
RNAcentral lists this microRNA precursor (183 nucleotides) under Oryza barthii. Its description in RNAcentral is "MIR812 microRNA precursor family". It matches the Rfam family "MIR812 microRNA precursor family". Lineage: Eukaryota; Viridiplantae; Streptophyta; Magnoliopsida; Poales; Poaceae. The record is from Rfam by way of RNAcentral.